Molecule: non-coding RNA, 137 nt
Organism: Ornithorhynchus anatinus (platypus)
Lineage: Eukaryota; Metazoa; Chordata; Mammalia; Monotremata; Ornithorhynchidae
Source: RefSeq, marked provisional
GACAGAGCUUUUAAGAGAGGCACAGACGACCUGAGGCACGAUACAAAGAAGCGUGGCUCUUUCCGCCCUGACUACCGGUAUGGUGAAGCAGCUGGUGUUGUGAAUCAGGCCGUCGCCAAUCUGAGAACGGCUACUUC